RNAcentral lists this ribosomal RNA (780 nucleotides) under uncultured bacterium. RNAcentral's name for it is "bacterial SSU rRNA". It matches the Rfam family "Bacterial small subunit ribosomal RNA", at positions 53 to 696 of the family's 1533-position model. The record is from RNAcentral.
ACAUGCAAGUCGAGCGGGGUUAAAGUUUUACACUGAGUAUUUAAAGAGUUAUUCAGCCAGCGCAGAUGCACAAAUAACCUUGACUUAAUAAUCUUUCAAAAAAAGAUUUGUGCAUUACGCGUUUUAAAGCGUGAAUAACACUGACGCAAACAAGCAAUCGGAUUUGAGUACUGAGUGUAAAACUUUAACCUAGCGGCGGACGGGUGAGUAACGCGUGAGCAAUCUGCCUCAUACAGGGGGAUAACAGCUGGAAACAGCUGCUAAUACCGCAUAAGACCACACUAUCGCAUGGUAGAGGGGUCAAAGGAGCAAUCCGGUAUGAGAUGAGCUCGCGUCCCAUUAGCUGGUUGGCGGGGUAACGGCCCACCAAGGCAACGAUGGGUAGCCGACCUGAGAGGGUGAUCGGCCACACUGGGACUGAGACACGGCCCAGACUCCUACGGGAGGCAGCAGUGGGGAAUAUUGCGCAAUGGGGGGAACCCUGACGCAGCAACGCCGCGUGAGUGAAGAAGGCCUUCGGGUCGUAAAACUCUGUCAUAGGGGAAGAAAAAGAUGACGGUACCCUAUGAGGAAGCCCCGGCUAACUACGUGCCAGCAGCCGCGGUAAUACGUAGGGGGCGAGCGUUGUCCGGAAUUACUGGGCGUAAAGGGUGCGCAGGCGGCCGAUUAAGUCAGAUGUGAAAUACCACGGCUCAACUGUGGGGGUGCAUUUGAAACUGGUUGGCUUGAGUGCAGGAGAGGAAAGUGGAAUUCCUAGUGUAGCGGUGAAAUGCGUAGAGA